RNAcentral lists this ribosomal RNA (1551 nucleotides) under uncultured bacterium. Its description in RNAcentral is "bacterial SSU rRNA". It matches the Rfam family "Bacterial small subunit ribosomal RNA". The record is from RNAcentral.
CGGAUCCGCGCCGCUGCAGAGUUUGAUCCUGGCUCAGGAUAAACGCUGGCGGCGCACAUAAGACAUGCAAGUCGAACGGAAGUCGUUACAGUAGAAGUGGAAAGAAGAUUUAUCAGAUUGAAGCGGAAGUUGUAACAAUGGCUUUAGUGGCGGACUGGUGAGUAACACGUAAGUAACCUGCCUAUUAGAGGGGAAUAACAAUGAGAAAUCAUUGCUAAUACCGCAUAAGCUUGUAGCAUUGCAUGAUGUAGCAAGAAAAGGAGCAAUCCGCUAAUAGAUGGGCUUGCGGCUGAUUAGCUAGUUGGUUAGGUAAAGGCUGACCAAGGCAACGAUCAGUAGCCGGGCUGAGAGGCUCUGCGGCCACAUUGGGACUGAGAUACGGCCCAGACUCCUACGGGAGGCAGCAGUCGGGAAUAUUGCGCAAUGGAGGAAACUCUGACGCAGUGACGCCGCGUAUAGGAAGAAGGUUUUAGGAUUGUAAACUAUUUUAGACAGGGAAGAAAGAUGACAGUACCUGUAGAAUAAGCUCCGGCUAACUACGUGCCAGCAGCCGCGGUAAUACGUAGGGAGCAAGCGUUAUCCGGAAUUAUUGGGUGUAAAGGGUGCGUAGACGGGAAUACAAGUUGGUUGUGAAAUCCCUCGGCUCAACUGAGGAACUGCAACCAAAACUAUAUUUCUUGAGUGCAGGAGAGGAAAGCGGAAUUCCUAGUGUAGCGGUGAAAUGCGUAGAUAUUAGGAGGAACACCAGUGGCGAAGGCGGCUUUCUGGACUGUAACUGACGUUGAGGCACGAAAGUGUGGGGAGCAAACAGGAUUAGAUACCCUGGUAGUCCACACCGUAAACGAUGGAUACUAGGUGUAGGGAAUAAUAUAUUUUCUGUGCCGAAAGCUAACGCAAUAAGUAUCCCACCUGGGGAGUACGGCCGCAAGGUUGAAACUCAAAGGAAUUGACGGGGGCCCGCACAAGCAGUGGAGUAUGUGGUUUAAUUCGAAGCAACGCGAAGAACCUUACCAGGGCUUGACAUAUACCGGAAUAAUUAGGAAACUAGUUAGUCUUUCGGGACUGGUAUACAGGUGGUGCAUGGUUGUCGUCAGCUCGUGUCGUGAGAUGUUGGGUUAAGUCCCGCAACGAGCGCAACCCCUAUUUCUAGUUGCCAGCAUGUAAAGAUGGGAACUCUAGAGAGACUGCCGGUGAGAAAUCGGAGGAAGGUGGGGACGACGUCAAAUCAUCAUGCCCUUUAUGUCCUGGGCUACACACGUACUACAAUGGCCGUAACAGAGAGAAACGAAACAGUAAUGUGGAGUAAAACUUAAAAAAGCGGUCUCAGUUCGGAUUGAAGGCUGAAAUUCGCCUACAUGAAGUUGGAAUUGCUAGUAAUGGCAGGUCAGCAUACUGCCGUGAAUACGUUCCCGGGCCUUGUACACACCGCCCGUCACACCAUGAGAGUUGGAGAUACCCGAAGCCUGUGAGCUAACUUUUUAAGAGGCAGCAGUCGAAGGUAGAAUCAAUGAUUGGGGUGAAGUCGUAACAAGGUAACCCGGGCGGCCGCUC